RNAcentral lists this transfer RNA (74 nucleotides) under Paenibacillus xylanexedens. RNAcentral describes it as "tRNA-Ala". It matches the Rfam family "tRNA". From Rfam's summary of the family: Transfer RNA (tRNA) molecules are approximately 80 nucleotides in length. Their secondary structure includes four short double-helical elements and three loops (D, anti-codon, and T loops). Further hydrogen bonds mediate the characteristic L-shaped molecular structure. tRNAs have two regions of fundamental functional importance: the anti-codon, which is responsible for specific mRNA codon recognition, and the 3' end, to which the tRNAs corresponding amino acid is attached (by aminoacyl-tRNA synthetases). tRNAs cope with the degeneracy of the genetic code in two manners: having more than one tRNA (with a specific anti-codon) for a particular amino acid; and 'wobble' base-pairing, i.e. permitting non-standard base-pairing at the 3rd anti-codon position. The record is from RNAcentral. Lineage: Bacteria; Bacillati; Bacillota; Bacilli; Caryophanales; Paenibacillaceae.
GGGGUCUUAGUAUAAAGGGAUUACAUUCGGCUUGCAACCGAAUAAUAGGGGUUCAAUUCCCCUAGAUUCCACCA